Malaclemys terrapin pileata is the source of this 813-nucleotide long non-coding RNA. RefSeq lists it as uncharacterized. The transcript is spliced from 3 exons. The record is from RefSeq and is a predicted model, not a curated record. Lineage: Eukaryota; Metazoa; Chordata; Testudines; Emydidae.
AUCAGCUCCUUCUCUGCUGGGUCCAGAUAUAUUGGCAACAAAGGUCUUCUAUCCCACCAGUGCUGCCACUGCCUGACCAAGAAGAAGAAAAGUCUAGACCUUGCCCUGCAGCCAGCCAACCUUGUUCCAGUCCUGUUCCAGCCUUGCUUCUGCCUCAGAACCAGCCCUGCUCCUGCUCUCCCUGACUUCAGACUUCCAUGGUAAGUUUGGGAAGCCUCCUGGGUAAAGAGACCAACAAAGCAAAAAUUUCAGUUUCCAAUUACAGAAUGUAUUUCAAGUGUGAAGCAUCCCUAUAUCUUCAUUAGUUGUGUCACACUGUUUCCUCUCAGCACUUCCAGGAUCUCUUAUGUGUAUAGAAUGCUCUCCAUAUCUUUAAAUCUCAAGAAGCCUUAUUUCUUAUGAACUACUUGAUCAUACUUAUUCUUUUUUUAAUUAUGAGAUUCAUUUCUACAUGUUACAGGGUCUUAUAUCUAUCAUUAUUCAAUAAAAAUAAUUGGGGGUAGAAAUUAAGCAUCCUGGAAAGCGCUUUGAAUUGUAUGUGUUGAUUCUUUAUCACAGAACCUUUAAUAUCAAAAGAAUCAUUUUCCUAUAUUAUCUACCAUGUUGCAUGUGUUACUGUUUUCCAUUCCCGGUCUCAGGUACACUGUGCCCAAACCCAGAGAGUCCAUACUCAAUUUGUCCAUGUGCUGAGGUAUCAGAAAUUCUACCAGUAGCCAAUGUUAGUAUUAGAUGUUAGAAUAUUUGUAACUCAUUUUCCUAAGUUUGUAAAAAAUCUUCUUUUAUUUGAAUUUUUAAUGUACUUUGGAGUCUCCA